This 253-nucleotide ribosomal RNA is filed under the name uncultured bacterium. Its description in RNAcentral is "partial 16S ribosomal RNA". It matches the Rfam family "Bacterial small subunit ribosomal RNA", at positions 524 to 776 of the family's 1533-position model. The record is from RNAcentral.
UACGUAGGCAGCAAGCGUUGUUCGGAAUUACUGGGCGUAAAGAGUGUGUAGGCGGUGCUCUAAGUCUGUUGUGAAAUCUCCCGGCUUAACUGGGAGGGUGCGGCGGAGACUGGAGUGCUAGAGUGUGGGAGAGGUAAGCGGAAUUCCUGGUGUAGCGGUGAAAUGCGCAGAUAUCAGGAAGAACACCCGUGGCGAAGGCGGUUCUCUGGGACGGUACUGACGCUGAGACGCGAAAGCGUGGGGAGCGAACAGG